GUACGGAAGGCAGCAGUGGGGAAUCUUGCGCAAUGGGCGAAAGCCUGACGCAGCGACGCCGCGUGAGGGAAGAAGGCCUUCGGGUUGUAAACCUCUUUCAGGAGGGACGAAGCCACUCGGGUUAAUAGCCCAGAGGGUGACGGUACCUCCAGAAGAAGCCCCGGCUAACUACGUGCCAGCAGCCGCGGUAAUACGUAGGGGGCAAGCGUUGUCCGGAUUUAUUGGGCGUAAAGAGCGUGUAGGCGGCCAUACAGGUCAGCUGUGAAAACUCGAGGCUCAACCUCGAGACGUCGGUUGAAACCGUAUGGCUAGAGUCCGGAAGAGGAGAGUGGAAUUCCCGAUGUAGCGGUGAAAUGCGCAGAUAUCGGGAAGAACACCCGUGGCGAAGGCGGCUCUCUGGGACGGUACUGACGCUGAGACGCGAAAGCGUGGGGAGCGAACAGGAUUAGAUACCCGAGUAGUCCU
This 465-nucleotide ribosomal RNA is filed under the name uncultured bacterium. RNAcentral's name for it is "bacterial SSU rRNA". It matches the Rfam family "Bacterial small subunit ribosomal RNA", at positions 339 to 797 of the family's 1533-position model. The record is from RNAcentral.